Molecule: long non-coding RNA, 771 nt
Organism: Tribolium castaneum (red flour beetle)
Lineage: Eukaryota; Metazoa; Arthropoda; Insecta; Coleoptera; Tenebrionidae
Exons: 2
Source: RefSeq, a predicted model, not a curated record
CUCUGACGAGGUCCCGCACCAGGAUAUCCCCAUGACCACACGGCACCACAACUCUGACACUGCCGAAGCACACGGUCACCUUCAUUUUCGGCCGAACAAAUGCACAAAUCUACCACACCGCCAGUAAAUAGAGCCGAGUCGCGUGCAAAUCGUGGCGGAUUACGGUGAUUCGGUGGUAGUUUCAUGGGUCAAAGCUGGCCGAGUGCGGGAGACGAGGCCGCAAACAUGUGCACAUUUCAAACAAAACAAAAGUUGCGCGGCGAUCGUAGCACACUUGCUCGCACUAUGUUGGCAUUUUAUAAACUAAAAAUUUCAAACGAGUUUUUGCCCCCUCUCGACCUACCUGGAAAGUGGCGGCCAAUAGAAGGGCGAGAUUACGGUGGCAAAUGCGCGAACUAGCGAUGGAAUGUUGCGGUUGGUCAAUGAGGAAGGGCGACCUCUGGGGGACAGGUAGCGGACUAAGGGGGUUUAAACAGGGAAAUGCAUUAUUUAUGAAAUUGGACGAGGAUUCAUUCACAAAAACGAAAUUCGGAAAAAAGCCCCCAUAAGUGAUUUAUUUGUUAGUUGUGCAUGCAUAUUUACAGCGUGUGCUAGCGAGUUAGUAACAUCCAGAAAAAUUACACAAAAUCUUGGAUCUUUUUGGCGUUGAAACAAAACUAGGAUAAGCAUCGAUUAAAUGAUCAGAUCCAGAAUUUUUUUUCUCCAGACGUGUGAUAACAUCUUUUUUUCUGUAAUCCGAACUAAUUGUUGCAACAGAUUCUUCAAAUUACA